RNAcentral lists this ribosomal RNA (762 nucleotides) under Bacillus cereus. RNAcentral describes it as "bacterial SSU rRNA". It matches the Rfam family "Bacterial small subunit ribosomal RNA", at positions 77 to 826 of the family's 1533-position model. The record is from RNAcentral. Lineage: Bacteria; Bacillati; Bacillota; Bacilli; Caryophanales; Bacillaceae.
UCUUAUGAAGAUUAGCGGCGGACGGGUGAGUAACACGUGGGUAACCUGCCCAUAAGACUGGGAUAACUCCGGGAAACCGGGGCUAAUACCGGAUAACAUUUUGAACCGCAUGGUUCGAAAUUGAAAGGCGGCUUCGGCUGUCACUUAUGGAUGGACCCGCGUCGCAUUAGCUAGUUGGUGAGGUAACGGCUCACCAAGGCAACGAUGCGUAGCCGACCUGAGAGGGUGAUCGGCCACACUGGGACUGAGACACGGCCCAGACUCCUACGGGAGGCAGCAGUAGGGAAUCUUCCGCAAUGGACGAAAGUCUGACGGAGCAACGCCGCGUGAGUGAUGAAGGCUUUCGGGUCGUAAAACUCUGUUGUUAGGGAAGAACAAGUGCUAGUUGAAUAAGCUGGCACCUUGACGGUACCUAACCAGAAAGCCACGGCUAACUACGUGCCAGCAGCCGCGGUAAUACGUAGGUGGCAAGCGUUAUCCGGAAUUAUUGGGCGUAAAGCGCGCGCAGGUGGUUUCUUAAGUCUGAUGUGAAAGCCCACGGCUCAACCGUGGAGGGUCAUUGGAAACUGGGAGACUUGAGUGCAGAAGAGGAAAGUGGAAUUCCAUGUGUAGCGGUGAAAUGCGUAGAGAUAUGGAGGAACACCAGUGGCGAAAGCGACUUUCUGGUCUGUAACUGACACUGAGGCGCGAAAGCGUGGGGAGCAAACAGGGAUUAGAUACCCUGGGUAGUCCACGCCGUAAACGAUGAGUGCUAAGUGUUUA